Long non-coding RNA from Pseudophryne corroboree (corroboree frog), 467 nucleotides. RefSeq lists it as uncharacterized. Lineage: Eukaryota; Metazoa; Chordata; Amphibia; Anura; Myobatrachidae. The transcript has 3 exons. The record is from RefSeq and is a predicted model, not a curated record.
UCGGUGAUAAAUACGCCAGAUACACCGGCUACAACCAGGUGGCAGAUCUGAAUAACUUCAUCAUCCUGUAUCCUCAGGCCAAAUCCAGCAUGAUGUCCAACCCUAACGGAUGCUGGGACUGGUGGGGAUACAGCAGUUCUGCAUAUGCUAACAAGAACGGUUACCAGAUGACCGGCGUGGAAAGGAUGAUGCUGAGAACUUUUGGACAGUACUAACGUUAUCCGUAUAAGAUGUGAAGGCGGGAAUGGGGGCGAGCGGACGCUCCCGACACGUGGAUUGGCUGUUACAUUUUCAUUUACAAAUAUUGUUAUGGGGGGAAAAAAAUUCAAAUGAUUUGCUGUUAUCAUUCCAAAAUGAAUAAUUGUGGGUGUGGCUUCCUUUAGGGGAGGAGCAAGCAGCUUUGGGAAAAUGCCUGUUUUAUCACCAUCGUCUUUAAUAGACUUAUUAACGUCUAAACAAAGAUGAAG